This 253-nucleotide ribosomal RNA is filed under the name uncultured bacterium. Its description in RNAcentral is "partial 16S ribosomal RNA". It matches the Rfam family "Bacterial small subunit ribosomal RNA", at positions 524 to 776 of the family's 1533-position model. The record is from RNAcentral.
UACGGGGGGGGUAAGCGUUGUUCGGAAUUACUGGGCGUAAAGGGCUCGUAGGCGGCCAACUAAGUCAGACGUGAAAUCCCUCAGCUUAACUGGGGAACUGCGUCUGAUACUGGAUGGCUUGGAUUUGGGAGAGGAAUGCGGAAUUCCAGGUGUAGCGGUGAAAUGCGUAGAUAUCUGGAGGAACACCGGUGGCGAAGGCGGCAUCCUGGACCGGUAUUGACGCUGAUGCGCGAAAGCCAGGGGAGCAAACGGG